This 904-nucleotide ribosomal RNA is filed under the name Chapsa sublilacina. RNAcentral describes it as "LSU rRNA". It matches the Rfam family "Eukaryotic large subunit ribosomal RNA", at positions 143 to 1099 of the family's 3401-position model. The record is from RNAcentral. Lineage: Eukaryota; Fungi; Ascomycota; Lecanoromycetes; Ostropales; Graphidaceae.
GAGUAAUUUGUAGAAGGUGCUUCGGAUUUGAUAAUGGUCCAAGUUCCUUGGAAUUGGACAUCAGAGAGGGUGAUAAUCCCGUUUCGACCAAUUAUCUAUCCAUGUGAAGCCCUUUCGACGAGUCGAGUUGUUUGGGAAUGCAGCUCAAAAUGGGUGGUAAAUUUCAUCUAAAGCUAAAUAUCAGUCAGAGACCGAUAGCGCACAAGUAGAGUGAUCGAAAGAUGAAAAGCACUUUGAAAAGAGAGUCAAAAAGCACGUGAAAUUGUUGAAAGGGAAGCGCUUGCAACCAGACUUGCUCGUAGUGUUCAGCCUCCUGAAAAGGUGGUGCACUCUCUGCGGGCGGGCCAACAUCGGUUUCAGCGGUCGGACAAAAGCUCGAGGAAAGUAGCUCUCUUCGGAGAGUGUUAUAGCCUCUUGCAUAAUGCGGCCAGUUGAGACCGAGGAUAUAUGCGAACCCUUCCGCGUAAUGAAAGUGAACGUAGGUGGGAGCCUUUUUGGCGCACCAUCGACCGAUCUGAGUUCGCAAGGAUUUGAGUAGGAGUGUGAUUUCCCGGACCCGAAAGGUCAGUCUAAUAAUCUCCCAUAUACCAAAUCCACUGAAAUGAAUUUGAUUGCUAACUUUUUCUACAGAAGGUGAACUAUUGCUGACUAGGGCGAAGCCAGAGGAAACUCUGGUGGAGGCUCGCAGCGGUUCUGACGUGCAAAUCGAUCGUCAAAGCUGGCAAUAGGGGCGAAAGACUAAUCGAACCUUCUAGUAGCUGGUUCCUGUCGAAGUUUCCCUCAGGAUAGCAGCAACGAAAACAGUCUCAUGAGGUAGAGCAACGAUUAGAGGCCUUGGGGUUGAAACAACCUUAACCUAUUCUCGAACUCCGAAUAUGUGAGAUGUCCUUGUUACUUAAUUGAA